This 1414-nucleotide long non-coding RNA is filed under the name Equus caballus (horse). Its description in RNAcentral is "lncRNA (ENSECAG00000049455.1)". Lineage: Eukaryota; Metazoa; Chordata; Mammalia; Perissodactyla; Equidae. The record is from RNAcentral.
UGUGUCCCAUGUCUAGAUUUCAGCAUCUAAUAGAGAAUGGAAAUAAGCCAUGGGAAUUGACAUGUGUGUGGAAACAAGAGUUUACAGUUUCAACAGCUGGAAUCAAUCCAAAGGGGAUCAUGAGAACCAAAGGCCCUGGGAAUUUUCAGAACUUGGGGGGUUGCCAUUGAACUCCUCAGAAUUUGGCAUAGAGACCAAGAUCCUAUUCACCUCCCAAUGCUAAGUCACCCUAGGUGCUCUAAGGGCUAUAAUAAUAAAUUUCACAUGACAUUGUUCUUGGCUCUCUAAAUAGCUUAUAUAUCUUAUUCAGAACAGAGUUUGGUUAUCUUUAUCCUUUCCUUUUUAAAAUCUGGUACCAAGAAUUAAAUAUGCACAAUGUUGACUGAAAUUUGAAGGAUGCUAUGUAGACACUGAAGGCCUUCCAUUUACUAUGAAGUGUUCUAAAAUGGCCCAAACAACAGUGGAAGACAUAGAAUAACAGAAGAUCCCUCUAUCGUGAUGACUCAAGCCAGGGAUUUAAUGGAAAAUCUUUUUACCUCUUAAUCUGUUUUCUCUAUGAAGCAUCCCAGAAGAAUCAAAGAUUAUGUCCCUACAUCCCUAUUCUUGGCAAUCGUCUAAUUAGAACGUCACAACCUCUUGGUAGUGAUCUGAAUAAUCUUCUGGAUUACUUAUUGUGUACUACUAGGAUACUGUUGUAUUAAAAUAUGCAUAUCAGUGGAAUAUAAGUGUGCUGUUGGAAUUCUGAUCUACACAAAUCUGACUCUGCCCCUGCCUCUGAUGUGGGAAACCUCUUGAAAUUGGGUAGUCUACUGUUUUUGGUCACUAAGUUUCGAUAUGGUAAGAAUUUCAACUGUGGACUUUUUCCAGUCAUGGGACUUGGUUUCAUAAAUAUUUUAAAGGGAUUUUCACUCCAUCAUUGAUUUUAGAGGAUGGUUGGUAACGCUUCUUAUCCCAAGAAGACCUCCUCUCCUUGGUUCAGACUUCCCAGAUAUCACACUUAAGGUUAGAAUGAAAUCCAUGAACAAUGUGAAUUGAAGAUCUAUCCACUAGGCCAUAUUUUUCAGAAACUGAUAUUUUUACAAUACUUUUGAUAAACUAUACCAAUUAAUAAAAGUAACUGUAAGUUGGUUAUUUCUUAUGACUAAUACAAAUUCUUCAUGAUGCAGUAUUGUGUCAGCUCAAUAUUUUUCUCAAUAAAUAAAAAGUUAAAUCAAGGCAAUUUUUAAGCACAAGCUACAGUGAAUCAUGAAAUUGCUGGUUUGGUAGGACAAAAAUGAUUGUCUCAGUAGUUACAUAUGGUUCAUCCUAAUAUUAGCAACAACCUCAAGAUAAUUUUCUCUGUUCUUUUGCCUCCUAAGAGCUUCAACAUGUAUCUCAAAGCUCAUUCCCUCUUUGUAGAAGCUGCAUCUAAUUU